Molecule: unclassified non-coding RNA, 434 nt
Filed under: Hevea brasiliensis (rubber tree)
Lineage: Eukaryota; Viridiplantae; Streptophyta; Magnoliopsida; Malpighiales; Euphorbiaceae
Source: RNAcentral
AUAUCUCAUAGCUGACUGGCAUGCAUGGGAGGAGAUGGAGGAUUUAUCAACUUUUAACUGUAUCAAGAAAGCAGUUAGCCUUGACAAGAAAUUUGCUGUGAAAAACUUUCUUGUGGGGAAGCUGCCGUUGCCUCCUGCUCCACCUGUUCCCCAAAAAUCCAUCCUUGAAGGAAUUGGUGCAUUCAUUACCGAAGCUUUCUCACAAUAUCCAUCUGCAGUAUGGAGGGCAUCCUCUUGUGUCCACAUUCUUUUACAUAGUCCCAGUUACUUACCUGAAGGAGAAGGUGUCAAGCAAUCUUUGGUGAUUUCCUUGUGUCAGGCAGCAUUUUCUCGUUUUAGAGAGAUACGAAACCAGUUUGUCCCACUAUGGAAUCCUUUGUUGCUUGCAAUAGCGUCGUGUUAUUUGUGUUUCCCUGAUAUUGUAGAGAAGAUUA